CUCUGCCCGCGCUGGGCCUGGGUUCGCUGGCGCUCCCGCCUGCCCUCUCGCUUCGCUAGUCUCCCCUGCCGAAGCGGGGUGGGUUCGGCCCGGCCUGGCCUGCUGUUCUGGGGCUGGCUGGAGUGGGAGCCUCUACCGUGCGGGACCCCGGUGGUGGUAACUAAGGCCGCGGGUGCGGGCGGAGGCCCUUAGAGGCUCGGCGGCCCUGCAGCUGACGGGUAGGAUCUCCUCUGCUGGAGCCGGGCAGCUCCACCCUCCUCGGCGCUCCCCGACCAGGCUCGCCGAGUUCGAGUGGCCUGGCCCGGGGCUGCUGGACUCCUUUGCUCUGCCACAGGCCUUGGCACCUGUCAGGUCAUUGCCAGGGCUGCAGAGGCGACACAACUGACAGCACCACAGGGCAGAGAAGUCUUGUAGACCGAGUUUUAUGAGAACUGAAAGCAUAUUACAAGAAAUCCCGACGAACUUCAGGGUCUAGAAAAUGUGAACUUCUAGUCUUGAGGGAAAAGGAGAAAUGCAAUUAACUUUAAACAAAGCUUACAGUGAGUUAGAAAGGUUUUCUAAAAAGGCUAUGUCUUUAUUGGGGGAUUUCUUUCACUCACUACACCGAGGAUUGGUUGUUUUUAGGUGGAGGUGAGGAUGGUGGUCUAAGUGUAAAAGGACCAGUGCAUCCAUAUAUUUCAUAUUCAUCAAUUUUCUGUACUUUUCACGUCUUCUUGUAGGCAUAUGAGAUUAUUGCCUUCUAUACUUUUAUGCUUUUAAAAAAACACCAGCAUGGUUGCAUUCAGUGGUCAAAAUGAAACCAAACCCCCCCUCCGCCUCCCCUCCCCCCCAAAUAUUGGUCUAAUUAGAACCAGCCACUGCACAUAUAUCCUCAAGUAACAUCUGUAACCCAGUUCCUUGGAGUAAAGUGAAAGUAUUCAAACAAGCCAGAGACAUCUGGAUAGUCAUUUAGCAACAGGUUGGCUGUUAGGGAAAAUUGGAACUACAAGAAUUUGGCAGUGUUUCUUUAAGUUGUUAAGAAAAAGAUUAGAGCUAAUUUUUGAGGUAUCGAAAGCUGAAUAUUGUGAAUCAGGUAACAACAAAGGGGAUGAACUUCUUUAAAAAUCAUUUUAACAGAAUAUUUAGGAUUCCAUGUAUACUGUAUUCCAUGUAUACAUUCUGGGAACUCUGAGUUUUUAGUUAUCUGGAAGCUAUGAUAGGAGAUUGGCACUGUUAAAGUGAUAACUAGCACUAAUACAAAUUUACAAACACUGCUUUCUGGAAAUUAAUGGUGUCUUGCUUGGAGAAAAUAUGGUAACGAGGAAGAAUAAAAUUGUGGGCAUUCUGUAUAAAAAUGGAUGUACAUGUGUUAUGACUUUCAUCAAAUAAAAUAUCUUUGCU
This 1380-nucleotide long non-coding RNA is filed under the name Mus musculus (house mouse). RNAcentral's name for it is "long non-coding RNA chr4:109666869-109668249". The record is from RNAcentral. Lineage: Eukaryota; Metazoa; Chordata; Mammalia; Rodentia; Muridae.